UUUUAGUAAGCCUUUGUCUCA
RNAcentral lists this small nuclear RNA (21 nucleotides) under Arabidopsis thaliana (thale cress). RNAcentral describes it as "snRNA_10091". Lineage: Eukaryota; Viridiplantae; Streptophyta; Magnoliopsida; Brassicales; Brassicaceae. The record is from RNAcentral.